CCUACGGGUGGCAGCAGUGAGGAAUAUUGGUCAAUGGACGAGAGUCUGAACCAGCCAAGUAGCGUGAAGGAUGACUGCCCUAUGGGUUGUAAACUUCUUUUAUAUGGGAAUAAAAUGUUCCACGUGUGGGAUUUUGUAUGUACCAUAUGAAUAAGGAUCGGCUAACUCCGUGCCAGCAGCCGCGGUAAUACGGAGGAUCCGAGCGUUAUCCGGAUUUAUUGGGUUUAAAGGGAGCGUAGGUGGAUUGUUAAGUCAGUUGUGAAAGUUUGCGGCUCAACCGUAAAAUUGCAGUCGAAACUGGCAGUCUUGAGUACAGUAGAGGUGGGCGGAAUUCGUGGUGUAGCGGUGAAAUGCUUAGAUAUCACGAAGAACUCCGAUUGCGAAGGCAGUUCACUGGACUGCAACUGACACUGAGGCUCGAAAGUGUGGGUAUCAAACAGGAUUAGAUACCCGUGUAGUC
RNAcentral lists this ribosomal RNA (460 nucleotides) under uncultured bacterium. RNAcentral's name for it is "partial 16S ribosomal RNA". It matches the Rfam family "Bacterial small subunit ribosomal RNA", at positions 338 to 795 of the family's 1533-position model. The record is from RNAcentral.